This 623-nucleotide ribosomal RNA is filed under the name uncultured Bacteroidota bacterium. RNAcentral describes it as "bacterial SSU rRNA". It matches the Rfam family "Bacterial small subunit ribosomal RNA", at positions 8 to 624 of the family's 1533-position model. Lineage: Bacteria; Pseudomonadati; Bacteroidota. The record is from RNAcentral.
AGAGUUGUAUCCUGGCUCAGGAUGAACGCUAGCGGGAGGCUUAACACAUGCAAGUCGAGGGGCAGCGGAGAUUGCUUGCAAUCAGACGGCGACCGGCGCACGGGUGCGUAACGCGUAUACAAUCUGCCCUAUACUGGAGAAUAGCCCAGAGAAAUUUGGAUUAAUGCUCCAUAGUCUUCCUCUUUCGCAUGUUAGAGGUUGUAAAGCUGCGGCGGUAUAGGAUGAGUAUGCGUCCCAUUAGCUAGUUGGUAGGGUAAAGGCCUACCAAGGCGACGAUGGGUAGGGGUUCUGAGAGGAUGAUCCCCCACACUGGUACUGAGACACGGACCAGACUCCUACGGGAGGCAGCAGUGAGGAAUAUUGGUCAAUGGGCGCAAGCCUGAACCAGCCAUCCCGCGUGAAGGAUGACGGCUCUAUGAGUUGUAAACUUCUUUUAUAUACCAAGAAAGGUAGAUACGUGUAUUUAUUUGACGGUAGUAUAUGAAUAAGCACCGGCUAACUCCGUGCCAGCAGCCGCGGUAAUACGGAGGGUGCAAGCGUUAUCCGGAUUCAUUGGGUUUAAAGGGUGCGUAGGCGGUAAUUUAAGUCAGUGGUGAAAUCCUGCAGCUCAACUGUAGAACUGC